Molecule: long non-coding RNA, 1187 nt
Filed under: Heterocephalus glaber (naked mole-rat)
Lineage: Eukaryota; Metazoa; Chordata; Mammalia; Rodentia; Bathyergidae
Description: lncRNA (ENSHGLG00100047906.1)
Source: RNAcentral
GGUUGAGGAGAUUUACUGAAGAUUCACUGGGAGGUACUGGGCGUGAAUGACAGCAGCCAGCGGCCUUGCCGUCUAAAUGAUAUAAAAGGGAAAAGAAAAAGGAGGGUUGCUUCUUUUCUUCAGAGGCGCCCUCCUCUUUGGACGUCAUCUACUGGCUUCCAGCACAGACCCUUUGGCCUCCUGAUAAUGGACUCCCAUGGGACACUAUAGUGAGCUCCAGGCCUUCCACUGGAUCCUAGGUUGAAAUUCAGCUCUCCAAGGCGCAGACAGGCCUUUUGCACUCUUCCACACCUGACUCUGUGGGCAGCCAUUCAAUAUUUAUAAAAUGGAGAGGACUUCUGGGAAGAUGGCAGAGCACUCCUGACUUGUGGCAAGAGAAAGAAAGAUUGAGUAUAUACAGACACAGUGAAAAUGGUUGACUCCAGAGGCCUUCAGGGAGAAACACAUCAGUGGAAUGGAACUGUGCACAACAGCUGGUCAUGAAGAGCUCAAACUUGUGAUCCUCCUGCCUCUGCCUCCCAGAGAGCUGGAUUGCAGGUAUGGGUCAACAGGCCUGGCCAUACUCAGCCCGUAGGGAGUCACACACCAGAGACCUCCACACCAGUUAGAAGUGACCUGGGGAAGAGCAGGCAGGGGCCCAGGCUGUGAGGCUGUGAGGCCUAUUAUACUCUUCCCUCCCUCUCCCUCCCUCUCUGUUUGAGUUGGGAGGAAGCCAAUCAGAUGCGCAGGAUCAGAGAAUCCCUGCUGAGGAGACCGGCUAGUUGCGUUCUCUCAUGAGUGACAGUUCCGGGAGGAGGAGGAAAGGGCUAGGGACAGGGUGCAGGGGCAGAAGACAGCUGAUCAGACCCUGAGGAGCACUGGCAGCCCCCCUCACUAUUAGUCAUGGCCCGAGUGCAAACCUGCACAGAGGAGGCAUGGGCGAAAGGCAGAAAGGUCCAGGCUGUGGGGGGUGGGGGGCAGCUCCAGUGGUGAUGGUUUGGGAAAGUUGCCGCUUUUCCACCUCCUCGUCUCCAUUUGGUGAUUGAGAAAGUUCAUGGACCUCGGCCCCCAGGCUGGAAGUAUAGAUUCUACAGAUGCAAAGCUACUGGGGUGGAGCAGAGAAAAAGGGGGCGAAGAAGCUAUCCAAAGCUCUAAAUGGCCAGGGGUGGCCCAGCCUGUGCACUUUUUGUAUGCAAAUUAUUUCUCAG